This 291-nucleotide unclassified non-coding RNA is filed under the name uncultured Psathyrella. Its description in RNAcentral is "sequence contains ITS2". The stretch from base 1 to 52 matches the Rfam family "5.8S ribosomal RNA", at positions 103 to 154 of the family's 154-position model. Lineage: Eukaryota; Fungi; Basidiomycota; Agaricomycetes; Agaricales; Psathyrellaceae. The record is from RNAcentral.
AACGCACCUUGCGCUCCUUGGUAUUCCGAGGAGCAUGCCUGUUUGAGUGUCAUUAAAUUCUCAACCUCUUCAGCUUUUGUUGAUGAGGCUUGGAUGUGGGGGUUUUGCAGGUCUGCCUUAAUUGUGCGGUCUGCUCCCCUGAAAUGUAUUAGCGGGUUGGCUUCCGUCUAUUGGUGUGAUAAUUAUCUACGCCGUGGAUGGGUUUGGCUUUCAGACCAGCUUCUAACCGUCCUUUGGACAACUCUUGACAUUUUUGACCUCAAAUCAGGUAGGACUACCCGCUGAACUUAA